CCUUCCUGUCCCAUAGGAGUUCUCAGGCAGCUUCAAUGGAAGGAGGGAGCCAAGAAGGGGGCCUGGUAUACAUUCAAAGAUGAUAAUUACGACAUGGAUUGUGUAUAUUCUUGCUCGGAAAGGUGUAGGGCUUCCCUUCCUACCAAUAACCAGUUCGGACAUUGACGUUGUGGAAAGCGAGGCUGUGUCUGUACUACAUCAUUGGUUGAAAAAAACAGAAGAAGAGGCUUCUCGGGGCAUAAAGGAAAAGCUGUCCAUCAACCACCCUUCCCAGGGUGUAAGGGAGAAGAUGUCCACUGACUCCCCUCCCACCCAUGGCCAGGACAUCCACGUGACCAGAGAUGUGGUGAAGCACCACCUCUCUAAGUCUGAUUUGUUGGCAAACCAGAGCCAAGAGGUCCUAGAGGAGAGAACACGAAUCCAGUUCAUAAGAUGGAGCCACACUCGUAUCUUCCAAGUGCCAAGUGAGAUGACAGAGGACAUCAUGCGAGAUCGAAUAGAGCAGCAUAUCCCGUCUUACAGAUGUCUCAGCUCAGGACUUCAGUAUGAGACCCUCCUCCUCAGACUGCUGAGAGCAACAGGUGGAAGUCCUUCAGGGUCCAGCAGCAACCUGUAUCAGAAGAACAUCCUUCUCUGCUUGACCUGAAGAAGGGCCAGACCUGGGCAGAAAGACUCCAGCAGUUUCCUUGGACAGUCAUGUGCGUGGGCAGCUGAGAGGACACUGGACUCCUGGCAGCAGGUUCUGUCGACCCCACCUGGCUGGAUCACCUCAGCCUGGAAAGGCUGCUGCCAAAAGUGGAGGACUUAAAGCUGGAGGCCGCCCCAAAGACGGGGAAAUGAAGAAAACGCCGUUUCUGGAGCUCCCUGAGGAAACUGAUACAGUGAUGAGGAUGAAGGCAUAGAGAAACAACCUUCAAGAAGGACUGGACGAAAGAAAGAGCAACAGCAGUCCCCAAGUUUUGCAUCUCUAUCU
Gorilla gorilla gorilla (western lowland gorilla) is the source of this 973-nucleotide RNA transcript. It is a transcript of the gene named spermatogenesis associated 19, with no coding region annotated. NCBI's taxonomy places the organism in Eukaryota, Metazoa, Chordata, Mammalia, Primates, Hominidae. The record is from RefSeq and is a predicted model, not a curated record. The transcript has 10 exons.